Molecule: long non-coding RNA, 4605 nt
Organism: Oncorhynchus tshawytscha (Chinook salmon)
Lineage: Eukaryota; Metazoa; Chordata; Actinopteri; Salmoniformes; Salmonidae
Exons: 5
Source: RefSeq, a predicted model, not a curated record
CCAUGUAUGACAGGUGGGACGUCUGGGUUUACAUGGAUGUGAUGUUCUCCAGGAUUAGUUUGUCAGUUCAGUCAUUUGUGUUGAUGAGCCCUACCCAGCUAGCUAGUUCAUGCCUGUGGCUAGAAACUUCAGUGAGAAUUUGAAACUUGUCUGCUGAAGUCGGGACUUAUCGGACUACAAAAUCAACAGAUGUGCUUUAGCUGCCUGUCACCCUGGCCUGAUAUUAGCUACAGUAUCUAGUUACUUCCCUCUUAAGUUACUGCAGGACAGCAGUGCUCAGCAGGUGGGAAUCAGGAGCGAAGGACACACUGUGCCCCGUGUUGUUGUGUUGCCGGCUUGCAGGGCAAACGCUUCCCUUUGAGCAGCAGUACUGUGACAUCCAGAUUCUAGAUCGUGAUCCAAUACUGCAAGUUAUUUCUCCCUCGCCCAUCGAAAUAAAAACUUUCUUUUACAAGUUUUAACUCGCACCAUGCUAUUGUUGCUGGCUAGCUAAGAAGUGUUCGUCAGGACAAUUUACUGAACCAAAUCCAUUCGACAUACGUCAUCAAUUUGGGCACCAGGCAUGUCCAUAUAGCCUCUCCCCUUUAGCUUGGCAGCUGUUUUUAUGUUAACUCUGUUGUUUGUGCUCGAUGAAAUUCUGAAAACCGGACCAUGUUGUGGAUUCGUAUGACUGGAGGACUCAUUGACUAGCUGGCUACAACAACCUGGAGGUGGCAGAGUAUCUCCAGAAGCAAAGGGCUGACAUUAACGCACAGGACAAAGGAUGCCUCAUCCGUUUGCACAAUGCUGCCUAAUACAGGGUCCGUCAACUCAAAGAUUACAUCAGGCUUUUGAAGACGUUUUACAUGCUGUGUCGCCCAUCUUCCCUAUUAUCCCCUGUGUAUUUAUACACGUGUUCUCUGUUAAUCUGUGGCCAGUUUGUCAAGUCAACCAGCAGUUUUGCCUCAGCUCCUGCUUUUCCCAGUUUCUCCUUUUCUUUGACCCAUGCCUGUCCUGACUCGGAGCCCGCCUGCCUGACUACUCUGCCAGACCCUGCCUGCCGACCUGCACCAUUGCCCCACCUCUGGAUUAUUGACCUCUGCUUACCCUGAGCCUGCCUGCCGUCCGCACCCUGCAGCUAGUCUGAGUGUUGAGGACUCUACUAGAGAUGGCUUGAAGAUGACAAUUGAUCUUGCACGUGGACAUUGCGGCCCUCCUGAUCAAGUUCAACAAGUGUGUGUGUGUGUGUGUGUACCCCACAUACAACUGGGCCUUCACCCCUCUCCACGAGGUGACUCAGAAGGGCUGUAAUCUGCUGUGUGCUCUACUGCUGGCCCACAGAACUGACCCUGUCAUGAAGAAGCAGGAGAGACAGACCACCUGACCUGGCCACGAUACCCAUCCUUUCUCUGCUAGUGCUAACAGUAGAUAAUUGUUACGUACACCUCUCCCUAGAGGGUCCGCAACACCAUGCUACAACUCAACUCCCCGUGGAGUGAAAGGGGUAUGGGACUGUAGGUUUGAGCAGGAAUGACAAAGGCAGAGAAUGGUACCGUUUUACAGGGAAUUUAUUCAGUCACAUGGUCAUUUUUGGGAAAAGGGGCUGGAUGGAACCAAAGCGAAGAAAGUAAAUAUCAAAUCCCCCUCUCCUACCUUACCUGCCUACCCACUAGUUAACUUAGCACCACCUGGUGCGUUAACCAAAAUACAAGGGGUGGUCCGCCCAGGUCUUACCUAGUGUGCAAAGACAGUGAAUACGACAGGUUAUGUAUGCCCGCAGGCCUCUGCCUAAGCACUCCCUAGGUGCCUUCCCCUUCCCCCCUGGGAACAAAUGAAACAGAAUAAUACUACUUCACAACAAAAACGGAGAAAAAACUCAAGACAUUAAAGAAACGCUCUCUCUCUGAGCAACAAACUAACACAUAACAAUCAGCUCUCUCAGCAACAACUAACAUAGUACAUACCAAAUCUCUUUCUUAGAAACAAACAUAUGUUAUAACCCUCAGCUCUCUUCAGAGCAACAGAACACUGGCUUAUGUAGCUGGAGAAGGAGUCUAAUGGGAUACACCUGUAUCCUGACGAGGGGGCAGGGUCAGCUCUCCAAUCAUCAUUGGGGCCGACCAAUCAGCUGCUUGUGGGAAUUUCAGGAAGCCAUCCUGCAACACACACAUACAAAACCACAACACAGAAACUGGGGAACGUAACAAAGAUGUUAAAUGACAAGUGUUACUAUCAGUAUUAUAUGUUGAUUUUCAACAUAAACAAGAGCUGUCAUUAGUUUUUUGUUCAAAAUGGUAGACAUAGUGAAUGUAUGCAUGUGUUAUAUUUUUCUAGUUACACAACUGUCUGACAAGGACGUAGUCUGUUCAUAAUAAUUCCCAUCAAAUAUAUUUUGACACACAUGGCUGGGGAAACCCCUUAUCACCCAGUAACUCUCCCUCCGACCACAUCCUCCUCCUUCCUCAGGCUGAUGAUAUCCGUACCCUGUUGAUGUACACAAUGCCCUCAGACGCAGAGAAGAGAGAUCACCAGUUCAUCAAACUGUCCAUUCUCGGGACAACAUACAUUGCUCGAUCAGUACAUACAUUGCUCGAUUGGGUACUUGAUUGGCCCAUUUGCCACCUAGCCAAACAGACUGAUAUUUUAAUGCAGAAAUCCAUGACCUAUUGUAUUUGACCAUUUUGUGUGUAUUUCUUAGAAGCCUCCAAGCGCGCUGUUCUGAGGUUCAAGCAGUUUAAUUGUUUUUAAUAUCUGCUUAUAAUCAGUUAUCAGUUAAUACACAUGAAAAGAUUAGCUGUGGAAUUUUCCACUCCAUUAGGAUAUUAUUGUCUUGUAACUCAUGUAAAGUGGAGUGCCUCCUCCACCAGUCCUUUAGGGUUGCAAUGUUAAAUGUAUAACUCUAUUCUCUUAUAAGCUGAGGUGAACCAACGGACAGUAGAGCAGCAGCAGUCAGUAUGUAACCUGACACAACUGGAGGUCAUGAUGGUAUUUGUUUAGAACAAGAAAGAAAACAAGUAGUUGGCCACUACGAUGCAGAAAACUAUAUAUUUACAGUGGCUCCAGUUCCAAACACAGUAGUUAAGUGCCACUGGAGGUCUUUAUGGUGUUGAAGAACUCUUGGAAGUGAUCCAGGCUGAGCUUGUGGGUGAGCUUGUUGUUCCGUAGGUGGAGGAGCUGGGCUGUACCAGGCUGUGGUUUGAGCUUGACGAGGCCCUCCCAGCGAGGACACGUAGUCUUAUGCCUCAAACAGGAAGGAGUAGAGUACACAGUAUUCAUCAUGGAAAUGACUUGGGUGCCAUAUAUACGGAACUGGGUGGAGUCUUAUGCAACUGUGUUGACUCCACAGAGCUAAUGUUGCAAUACAGAAGAAAACAAGGGAGGAGAACUAUUAAUUGCCUUAUCGCUUUACAACUUAGGCCCAUAGCCUAUAGUUAAUUAUAUUGGUUUUGAGUACCACCUUGGCUCAUAUAUUCAGCAGGGCCCUUUCUGAAAUGAGAUGGGAUAAAACUAUUGGUUGUUUUAGCGGUGUAAUGGCUCAAACUGUAUUAUCCCCAGAUGUUCAUUUUGUUACAUGUAGGGCUAACAUAAUACAGAAUAAUUGAGUUGUUUAUUGCACCGCUCUCUGCUUGACACACUGCAAAGUGGGUCAACUAUUGUAUUCAUCUCCUUUGAUUUGAUAUAUGAAAAUGUCUCCAUUUUUUUAUUUGUUUAGUUUUGUCAGGUGUACCUCAGUUGGUUGAACAUGUUGCUAGCAAUGCCAGAGUUGUGGGUUUGAGUCCGGCCUGGACAGUAUACCAGAUUUAGCUGGGCUUCUCCUCAAUUACUCUGCAGCGCCGGUCGAGGGCUUCCAGGUGGAGCAAGAUGAACAAAACACGGCUAUUGUGAACAAUGUGCUGGCCAUAUUUGUUCGAGCUUUGGGUGGGCACUGGAUUAGGCAUCCUCACAUAAAACAAAACACGAUAGCCCUGACCUAUUCCUGCGUGACAGAGUUCAUCACACCCCGUUGGGAAAGUGUUUUUUAGAUGCCAUACACUAUUGUCUUUAACAGUUGUUAUAGAGCCAGCACAUAAUAGGCCAGGGCUUUAUGUAAGGAAUGAAUAUGAUUGAACCCAUUCUUACUCUGAUGCAGCACUUAUUGAAUGUUUUGAAUAGCAGGACAGAAAUCAAGUACCUCAUGCUGUACUCAUGUUGAAAAGACAGGUCAAAGAGAUCUCCUGGCAGGGGUUAGAAAGGAUGGUCCCCCUACAGGUACAGCAAACGCUAUGUUGGUUUGACUUCCCUGCAGUGAACAAUGCUCCCCCCCCAGUCCAGGUAAUGCCAAUGGCUUGUAUGUGACAGUUGUUUCAGUGGCUCUGACAAUACAUUAUAUUGAGCAUCUUAUAGAAUCCUUGAGUUGGUAUAUUAUACUACUUUUAUGAAUAUUUUUUAUCAAAUGCUGUCUAUCCCUUAGAAUCUACUAACAUGUUAUACAAGGCAACUUUACUGAUUAAUUGAUUGAUUAAUUGGGACAAGGCUCGAAUUUAAAAAGACAUGUCAACUUGUAUCUGCUUUAGAUUGGCACAUGUUAACUUUGGAGGAAGGUGGUUAGAUGGAUUCAGAUGCUAAACUUCUCCAAUACCGUAUUCA